RNAcentral lists this ribosomal RNA (270 nucleotides) under uncultured archaeon. Its description in RNAcentral is "partial 16S ribosomal RNA". It matches the Rfam family "Archaeal small subunit ribosomal RNA", at positions 477 to 747 of the family's 1478-position model. The record is from RNAcentral.
CAGCUCUCCGAGUGGUAGGGAUGAUUAUUGGGCUUAAAGCGUCCGUAGCCGGCUUAGCAAGUCUCCUGUUAAAUUCAGCGACCUAAUCGUUGAGCCGCGGGAGAUACUACUAGGCUAGGAGGCGGGAGAGGUCGACGGUACUUCUGGGGUAGGGGUGAAAUCCUAUAAUCCCAGGAGGACCACCAGUGGCGAAGGCUGUCGACUAGAACGCGCUCGACGGUGAGGGACGAAAGCUGGGGGAGCAAACCGGAUUAGAUACCCGCGUAGUCC